AGUGAACGCUGGCGGUAGGCCUAACACAUGCAAGUCGAACGGCAGCACAGUAAGAGCUUGCUCUUACGGGUGGCGAGUGGCGGACGGGUGAGGAAUACAUCGAAAUAUACUUUUUCGGGGGGGAUAACGUAGGGAAAUUUACGCUAAUCCGGCAUACGACCUCCGGGUGAAAGCAGGGGUUCUUCGAACUUUGCGGGAUUGAAUGAGCCGAUGUCGGAUUAGCUAGUUGGCGGGGUAAAGGCCCACCAAGGCGACGAUCCGUAGCUGGUCUGAGAGGGUGAUCAGCCACACUGGAACUGAGACACGGUCCAGACUCCUACGGGAGGCAGCAGUGGGGAAUAUUGGACAAUGGGCGCAAGCCUGAUCCAGCCAUACCGCGUGGGUGAAGAAGGCCUUCGGGUUGUAAAGCCCUUUUGUUGGGAAAGAAAAGCAGCAGGUUAAUACCCCGCUGUUCUGACGGUACCCAAAGAAUAAGCACCGGCUAACUUCGUG
This 492-nucleotide ribosomal RNA is filed under the name uncultured bacterium. RNAcentral describes it as "partial 16S ribosomal RNA". It matches the Rfam family "Bacterial small subunit ribosomal RNA", at positions 29 to 507 of the family's 1533-position model. The record is from RNAcentral.